GCAACCUGCCCCUGGCUCUGGGAUAACUCCAAGAAAUUGGGGCUAAUACCGGAUAUGACCGCUGACCGCAUGGUCUGGUGGUGGAAAGAUUUAUCGGCUGGGGAUGGGCCCGCGGCCUAUCAGCUUGUUGGUGGGGUAGUGGCCUACCAAGGCGACGACGGGUAGCCGGCCUGAGAGGGUGACCGGCCACACUGGGACUGAGACACGGCCCAGACUCCUACGGGAGGCAGCAGUGGGGAAUAUUGCGCAAUGGGCGAAAGCCUGACGCAGCGACGCCGCGUGGGGGAUGACGGCCUUCGGGUUGUAAACCUCUUUCAGCAGGGACGAAGCGAAAGUGACGGUACCUGCAGAAGAAGCACCGGCCAACUACGUGCCAGCAGCCGCGGUAAUACGUAGGGUGCAAGCGUUGUCCGGAAUUAUUGGGCGUAAAGAGCUCGUAGGCGGUUCGUCGCGUCGGCUGUGAAAACCUGAGGCUCAACCUCAGGCCUGCAGUCGAUACGGGCGGACUUGAGUACUGCAGGGGAGACUGGAAUUCCUGGUGUAGCGGUGAAAUGCGCAGAUAUCAGGAGGAACACCGGUGGCGAAGGCGGGUCUCUGGGCAGUAACUGACG
Molecule: ribosomal RNA, 611 nt
Filed under: Blastococcus sp. I12A-02953
Lineage: Bacteria; Bacillati; Actinomycetota; Actinomycetes; Geodermatophilales; Geodermatophilaceae
Description: bacterial SSU rRNA
Rfam family: Bacterial small subunit ribosomal RNA
Source: RNAcentral